Molecule: long non-coding RNA, 2557 nt
Organism: Onychomys torridus (southern grasshopper mouse)
Lineage: Eukaryota; Metazoa; Chordata; Mammalia; Rodentia; Cricetidae
Exons: 5
Source: RefSeq, a predicted model, not a curated record
UAGAGGGCCUUAUGUAAGUGUCACAGAUUCUUCUACAGAAUUUCUAUCAUCACUUCUUUCUGUCUUUGUUAUAUUAGAGCUUUUAUGUAAUUAGUAUCAUUCAAGGUAAAACAAAACACAUUUGGAGGCUGCAUUAGUUGUCAUGAUCAUGGAUGUUGGAGAAGAAGAACAUGGAAAACAGAAGUCAACUUGCCUUAACCACAAAUUAUGUCAACCUUGAUUUCCUGGGCAUGACACUGUCAGAAAGUUGCUCUACAAGUCAUUUGGAUAUGAAUCAUGAGUGCAGAAGAAGUUUUACAUGUGAAAUAACUCUGAAUACCACCUUGGAGAAAAGUAUAGAAAAUGAUUCUUAAUUCUUCAAGUCUGAGCAGUUAUAUGAAUGCAGCUUCCUGCCUUGGAUUCCUGCCCUGCAUUUUUGGAGAUGAGUUGUGGUGUGGAAGUGGAAGCAAAAUAAACCUCCUCCUCCCCAUUCAGUGUAUCGUUUUAUCACGGCAAUAAAAAUGCUAAAGCAAUAAGCCUUAUGGAAUGAGCAAGAACCAAGGACUAAAUUCCACUCUGGCUUUAAGAGACCUUUCCAAAUGAGAGGGAGGGCAUAGAGAGCUGAAAGUGGAGAACAGCACCGUACAGGUGUACAGAUUCCUACUACAGAAGAAGCAUGUCUGGCUCAGAGGAUAAUGCUGAGAACAGGACAGGAAGAUGGAGGAUGAGAUUGUUAGGGAAUAUCUGACAGUGCAGUGUGGCUUUGCUGCCUCUCAUGAUCUACGAGAGACAUUUACAAGUGAAGAAAUAUAACCAUAUUAUUCUUCAAAUAAUGAAAUAACAACAAAAACAAUCAAGCAGUGCUUUUUAGUGACCUCAAAAGGAGAUACAUGGUCAGUGUUGGAGCUGGGGAGAUAUAUUUGCAAUUGGAUUUCCAGGUAGUUCAAAAAUUAGUCUUGACAGCAAUAUGCAAGAAAAGAAUUGUUGGCAUUCUUAUCUGAAGUCAAAUGCUGUGAGGUAUCUUAAAGGUGGAGGCACUAUAAAGUUGGGAAAUGCAUCACAUGUGAUAGUGCUUUCUGAAGAACAGAGAUACAUGGACUGUGAUGUAUGCAGAGUUAUAGAAUAAACACAAAGGAGCAAUUUAUAUGUUUCAAAGAGUUGUCCUGUUGUUUUCACUCUGACAAAGUAUUUAAGUGAUAAGUUAGAUAAUUAAAAAAUAACAAAAACAGUGUAAUUAUUUCCAAGCAAUAUCAUCUGUAUUUGAAAAUGCCAUACCAAAUAAUAGCAGGUCCUCCCUUGUUGCCUGUGACCUUUCCAUGCACAGGUUCUUGGUCAUAAUAAUGGUCCCAGGUAUGGAUCCCACCUUGUAUUGUUGGCCUUGAAGUCAAUCAGAAAGUGUUUUGCUGCUCCCAUAACUUGUGUGCCAUUACUGCAUCAGUAGGCAUAUCUUACCAAGCUAGUUUUGAACUUCUGGACACAGUAAAGAACUUUCUUAACAGCUCCCAGUAGCACAGGAAUUAAAAAUCAAUGAUUGGCAAAUGAGAUUACUGGUAACUAGAAAGUUUCUAUGUGUCAAUGGAUACCGUUAUUUGAAUGAAGAAGAUUUUACUGGGUAAAAAUCUUCACCAGGUUUACAUGAUAGAACAUUAAAACUACUAUGAGAUUUAAUCUUAGCACUGUCAGAUUAACAGAAGAAGAAGGAGAAGAGGAAGAGGAGGAGGAGGAGGAAUAAGAGGAUGACAAAUAGUGGUUUGGAUGUGAAAAAAGGAUUUAAUGUUUGUAUUUUAAAAGAGGAAAAAUAAAUCAAGGAACAAAGCAAUAAAAUUAAGGAAAUGUAAUAACAUAUGUGAACAGCAGGGCCAAUACCCUGCUGUUUAUAUAUGUUAAUAUCUCUUCCUCUAAGGAUUUCCAAGUCUCUAUAUAUUCUAGACAUUACUGUCUGUUCAGAGCCUUCUUCUUAAACAACUAACAUGAUAGUCAAUAUUAAUUGUCAACCUGACAGGGUUUAGAUCCACCAAGUGUGGUUGUCUGGAUGACAUUAACUUGUGGGAAUGCCUGUAAGAGAUUUUUGUGAUUGCACUAUCUAAAUCAGGAAGUCUCACCCUGAAUGUGAGUGGUGCCUUUCAGUUGUGACCCGUUUGCAUGGAAGACCAAAGGGACAGCUCCUGCUUUCUCUUAAGCCUGUUUGCCUUCUAACAUCAUUAUUAAGUUCUAUUCUGUUGCUGCUGUUUCUACUCUAUCCUUUACUGACAUCAAAACAUAGCUCUGACUUAGGAUACUCAAUGUGACUGAAGACCAGUGGAUUUCCAGAAAUCCAUGGGACCUCUCUUCCAGAUUUGGAGUGCAAAGACAUCAACUCUCCUGGUCUAAACAGCUCUGGGUUAUUAGCAUGUUCAGUGUGAAGACAGCCAUAUUUGAAUCACACAGGCUGCUUCCUAUAUGCCAAUGUGAUAAAACCUCAUUUAAUAAAUAUUUAUUUUACUGGUGACAACUCUGGCUAGUAUAACUAGUUUCUCUAUGGAUUAUCUAUAUAUUUCUUCAUGUUGUUUUUUUUUGUAGACAAUGUUUAUUUAAAACA